Molecule: non-coding RNA, 115 nt
Organism: Triticum aestivum (bread wheat)
Lineage: Eukaryota; Viridiplantae; Streptophyta; Magnoliopsida; Poales; Poaceae
Source: Rfam
GGACUACUCCCUUCGCUCCGAAUUACUUGUUGCGGGUAUGGAUGUAUCUAGAUGUAUUUUAGUUCUAGAUACAUCCAUUUCUGCGACGAGUAAUUUAGAACGGAGGGAGUACUGA